GUCGAACGGCAGCACGGGGGCAACCCUGGUGGCGAGUGGCGAACGGGUGAGUAAUACAUCGGAAUGUACCCAGUAGUGGGGGAUAACUAGUCGAAAGAUUAGCUAAUACCGCAUACGCACUAUGGUGGAAAGCGGGGGAUCGCAAGACCUCGCGCUAUUGGAGCAGCCGAUGUCCGAUUAGCUAGUUGGUAGGGUAAAGGCCUACCAAGGCGACGAUCUGUAGCUGGUCUGAGAGGAUGGCCAGCCACACUGGAACUGAGACACGGUCCAGACUCCUACGGGAGGCAGCAGUGGGGAAUAUUGGACAAUGGGGGCAACCCUGAUCCAGCCAUGCCGCGUGUGUGAAGAAGGCCUUCGGGUUGUAAACCGCUUUUGUCAGGGAAGAAAUCCUUUGGGUUAAUACCUCGGAGGGAUGACGGUACCUGAAGAAUAAGCACCGGCUAACUACGUGCCAGCAGCCGCGGUAAUACGUAGGGUGCAAGCGUUAAUCGGAAUUACUGGGCGUAAAGCGUGCGCAGGCGGUUUUGUAAGACAGAGGUGAAAUCCCCGGGCUCAACCUGGGAACUGCCUUUGUGACUGCAAAGCUGGAGUACGGCAGAGGGGGAUGGAAUUCCGCGUGUAGCAGUGAAAUGCGUAGAUAUGCGGAGGAACACCGAUGGCGAAGGCAAUCCCCUGGGCCUGUACUGACGCUCAUGCACGAAAGCGUGGGGAGCAAACAGGAUUAGAUACCCUGGUAGUCCACGCCCUAAACGAUGUCAACUGGUUGUUGGACGGCUUGCUGUUCAGUAACGAAGCUAACGCGUGAAGUUGACCGCCUGGGGAGUACGGCCGCAAGGUUGAAACCUUCCAAAGGAAUUGACGGGGACCCGCACAAGCGGUGGAUGAUGUGGUUUAAUUUCGAUGCAACGCGAAAAACCUUUACCUACCCUUGACAUGUCUGAAAUCCUGAAGAGAUUUGGGAGNGCUC
Molecule: ribosomal RNA, 967 nt
Filed under: uncultured bacterium
Lineage: Bacteria
Description: bacterial SSU rRNA
Rfam family: Bacterial small subunit ribosomal RNA
Source: RNAcentral